RNAcentral lists this ribosomal RNA (252 nucleotides) under uncultured bacterium. RNAcentral's name for it is "partial 16S ribosomal RNA". It matches the Rfam family "Bacterial small subunit ribosomal RNA", at positions 524 to 775 of the family's 1533-position model. The record is from RNAcentral.
UACGAAGGAUCCAAGCGUUAUCCGGAUUUAUUGGGUUUAAAGGGUGCGUAGGCGGUUUUGUAAGUCAGUGGUGAAAUCUUCGGGCUUAACCCGGAAAUUGCCAUUGAUACUGCAGAACUUGAGUACAUUUGAAGUGGGCGGAAUAUGACAUGUAGUGGUGAAAUACUUAGAUAUGUCAUAGAACACCGAUUGCGAAGGCAGCUCACUAAACUGUAACUGACGCUGAUGCACGAAAGCGUGGGGAUCAAACAG